UUACGGUCAUAUCACUUUGAAACACCGGUUUCCGUACGAUCACCGGAGUUAAGCAACGUUGAGCUUUGUCAGUAUCUAGAUGGAUGACAUUUUGAAAAUCCCAGAUGUUGUAAG
Molecule: non-coding RNA, 114 nt
Organism: Acanthosepion pharaonis
Lineage: Eukaryota; Metazoa; Mollusca; Cephalopoda; Sepiida; Sepiidae
Source: the annotation of a GenBank genome assembly